UUUCCGUAGGUGAACCUGCGGAAGGAUCAUUAAUGUGUUUGGGCCUCACGGCUCUUCAUUCCGACGCUGUGCGCCUUCGGGCUGCACGCUGAGGGAGCGUAUAUCCACCCCUGUGCACACGCACGGUGGCGAGCUGGGUAACGGCUCGCCGCUGAUCUUUACACACGUCUAAAAGUCAUUGUAUGUUUAUUUGAGAUAAAAACACAACUUUCAGCAACGGAUCUCUUGGCUCUC
RNAcentral lists this unclassified non-coding RNA (234 nucleotides) under plant metagenome. RNAcentral's name for it is "partial contains small subunit ribosomal RNA, internal transcribed spacer 1, and 5.8S ribosomal RNA". The record is from RNAcentral.